This 29-nucleotide non-coding RNA is filed under the name Mus musculus (house mouse). Lineage: Eukaryota; Metazoa; Chordata; Mammalia; Rodentia; Muridae. The record is from RNAcentral. RNAcentral also lists the same sequence under 1 other name.
UUUCACAGAUGAGGAAACUGAAGCUUAGG